RNAcentral lists this small RNA (127 nucleotides) under Marmota monax (woodchuck). Lineage: Eukaryota; Metazoa; Chordata; Mammalia; Rodentia; Sciuridae. The record is from RNAcentral.
ACCGGGUAUGGUGGUGCACACCUAUAAUCCCAGCUACUUGGGAGGCUGAGGCAGGAGGAUCACAAGUUCGAGGCCAGGCUCAGCAAUUUAGCAAGGCCCUAAAAAACUUAGUGAUACCCUAUCUCAA